Mustela erminea (ermine) is the source of this 3941-nucleotide RNA transcript. It is a transcript of the gene named TRAF3 interacting protein 1, with no coding region annotated. The transcript has 20 exons. Lineage: Eukaryota; Metazoa; Chordata; Mammalia; Carnivora; Mustelidae. The record is from RefSeq and is a predicted model, not a curated record.
CAUGCGCCGCUGCCGACUCCGGUGCACUGUGGGAUGGGAGCCCGAGCGGCACGUCGAGGCCAGAGCGGGCGGCGGCGGCGGGGCCGGCGGCGGCCGGGGAGCGCGGCUUAGGCUCGGCUGGCCGGCGGGAGCGCGGGCGCGGGCGGCGCCGCCAUGAACUCCGCGGUGGUGAAGCGGACGCAGGAGGCCCUGGGGAAGGUGAUCCGGAGGCCGCCGCUGACGGAGAAGCUGCUGAGCAAGCCCCCGUUCCGCUACCUGCACGACAUCAUCACGGAGGUGAUUAGGAUGACCGGUUUCAUGAAGGGCCUCUACACAGACGCUGAGAUGAAGUCCGAUAAUGUUAAGGAUAAAGAUGCAAAAAUUAGCUUCCUUCAGAAGGCCAUAGACGUGGUGGUGAUGGUUUCGGGAGAGCCACUGUCAGCAAAGCCAGCACGGAUCGUGGCUGGGCACGAGCCUGAAAGAACAAACGAGCUGCUGCAGAGAAUUGGCAGAUGCUGUCUCAGCAAGCUCUCCAGCGACGAGGCGGUGAAGAGAGUGUUAGCUGGAGAGAAGGGGGAUCUGAAGGGAAGGUCCUCACUGAUGUCAAAAUCUCAGGAAUUGGACAAUAAGAAUGCACAAGAAGAAGAGCCCAGAGUUCAUAAAGAUAAAGAGGAUAAAAGGAACUCUGAAAUUAAUGAGAGGAGUACAAGCAGAGAUCGGAAACAGCAAGAAGAAGUGAAGGAAGAGAGCAAAGCAAGAGAGAAGGACAAAGAGAAGGAGAAGACGAGGGAGAACGACCGUGAGAGACAUAAAGAUCCUGAACGAGACAAGCACCGCGAUGGGGAGAGAGAACGAGCCAGAAACCGGACCAAGCAGGACAGAGACCGAGGCAACAGAGACCGCGACAAAGACCUGGACCAUGAGAGAGAGAGGAGGAACGAGGGAGGAAAGGAGAAAGAGAGGUGGAAAGACCGGGAGAGAGAGCGUGAGCGAGACAAGGCCCGGGACAGGGACAGGGACAGGGACAGGCGGAAGCUGAAGGAUGGGGAGCACUCCAGGGACCCUGACAGGGAGAAGAGCAGAGAGCAUGACAAACCUGAGAAAAAGUCCUCAAGCUCAGGGGAGGUGUUCAAAAAGAUGCCAGAUGGAUCUUUGAAAGACUCCAAAGCUGAAACAGAGACCGAGAUUUCCACUAGAGCGUCCAGGUCAGUGGCAACAAAAGCAUCAAAACGGCGAUCCAAAAAUGCAGUGGAAGGAAGAAGGGGCUCUAGAGCCAGUGAAAAUAGUCUUUCCCCUGAAAAAGAACAUAACUCUUCCUACAGUAAAGCUAAGAAGGAGCACACCGUGAAGCAGCUUGGAAGAAAGGAAGAUAGUAUUUCAGCUAAAAUGUUAGAUCCUGUAUUGUCUGGACUAAAUCAUGAAGCAGAUCAGGAAACUACAACUUCAGAAAUUGGAACAAAAGAAGCUAAUACUAACUCAGCUAGUGUUUCAGAUGAUAACUCAGCAAGUAUGUGGCGGGAGAAUGUUGAGCCUGAGCCAACAGUGAAGCAGAAAGGUGACUCUCCUAGUGAUGCAGAAGGAGAAGUUGGACCUUCUGGCCCAGAGAAGCCUGAGGUGUCCGAGAGCUCCGAGCUGCCAGGCGAGCUUCCAGCCAACCUCAGAAGAAUACCUCGGCCUGGGAGUGCGAGGCCAGCACCCCCCCGCGUGAAGCGCCAGGACAGCGUGGAGGCAUUGACACCAGACAGGACAGGAAGUGGGAAAAUCGUUGCCAGUGUGAUUGUAGACGCGCAGAACUCCGACAAUGAGGACGACAGUCAGUUUGUGGUGGAGGCGGCCCCCCAGCUCCCUGAGACAUCGGAGCUGGAAGUGGUGCCUGCGGUAGACAUGGAGGCCGAGGAGAAGCACGGAGGACUUGUGAAAAAGAUUCUGGAGACCAAGAAAGAUUAUGAGAAGUUUCAGCGGGCACCCAGACCUGGAGAGAAGGAGAAGUCGCUUGUCUUUGAGGCUGCGUGGAAGAAGGAGAAGGACAUAGUUUCCAAGGAGAUCGAGAAGCUGCGCGUGUCCAUCCAGACCCUGUGCAAGAGUGCGCUCCCCCUGGGGAAGAUCAUGGACUACAUCCAGGAGGAUGUGGACGCCAUGCAGAAUGAGCUGCAGCUGUGGCAUAGCGAGAACAAGCAGCAUGCUGAGGCCCUGCAAAAGGAGCAGAGCGUCACAGAUGGUGCGGUUGAGCCCCUGAAGGCCGAGCUGGCUGAGCUGGAGCAGCUGAUCAAAGACCAGCAGGACAAGAUCUGUGCCGUGAAGGCCAACAUCCUGAAGAACGAGGAGAAGAUUCAGAAAAUGGUCUACAGCAUCAACCUGAGCUCGAGAAGGUGAAGCUCACAUGUUUCCAAAGCUGGAAGUCCUCCUCAGUCUGAAAAUAAAAAGGAAGAUAGAACGUCACCACUCUCUCAGUUCAGUUUUCUGAGAAAAUGAAGCUUUCCGUGUCCUCCCUCCAAGGUGCAGAGCUCUGAAAACGCAGGCACAUCCGUGUGUUGAGGGCCAUGUUCUGUCCCCUUCCUCCAGUGGGGGCAUUGCCUGCCGUGCGGACAUGUUCUCUGCGUCUCCGCGCGGCCAGUCGUGCUCAGGGCCAUGCCAGAAGUCGCCAGCAGCCACAUCCUGGUUUGGACAGCAGACAACAUGCCCCUCUUCCUAUUGGAAACCUGUCAUGCCUGGUGGAGUGUGGCUGCCAAGAGGGAGCAAGGGCACUCGGGUGCCCACGGAGCGCUGUGUGGCGCACAGCAGGGUCCACUGCUGAAGUUAGUAAGCUGGAUUGGGGGGAUGUGCUCUCAAGACCUCAGACACCUGGCGAGGUUUCUGCUUCUCUGUGGGCAGACGUGGGAGUGUGUUUGCCUUCAUCGCUGGUAGAAGGACCUUGCCAUAAAGGCUCCUGUCUAUGAACCGAUGUUGCCCUGAAGCAAAUUCCUGGUGGGUCUGUUCUCUCUGACGUCUUUCCUGGUGAUCUGGACAAAGCUGGGGGAAGUGGCUCUGUAAUUCACAACUGGUGUGAACAAGUGGGCAGGCCCCAUGUGAUGAAGCAUCAACUCAGGACAUGAGAACAUGAAGCUGGGCCAGCCCUGACUCGGUGAAAGAUGACAGGAAGAACCGUGAGGACACGGAUGUCCAGGUGGUACCACACUUGGGAUGUGAUGGGCGGGAGCAUCAGUGGAAACCUCCCCACCCCACCAUGGCCACCGUUGUUCUCUGAAGAAGCCAGGUGCUUCGAUCUUGGGAGGCACUGGAGGACGUGAAGCCUGGCUGGACCUGUGCCACUGCCUGCUAGUCCAGGAUCCCUUAGAGCCCAGCAGGACACCCUGGUGACAAGGUUAUGUCUGCUGAGCUAGGUGUCCGAUGGUGUGUGAUGUUGCCACGUGCAGGAAAGUGUCACCGUGGAGGCUUCACAUGGAGGAAAGCAAGCCCGAAGGUGGAUGAGACUAAGGGCGAAACUUAGAGUUCCAGCAGUCAGCUAUGCCCAAACACCAGCCCGUCCUGGACAUCCCUGUUCUACAGAUGUCUUCAUGGGUGCGAUGGUUCUAUUUUAUGUCGACUUGGCAAGGCUGUGGUCCCCAAGUUAUGUGGUGCGUUGCCAGUCUAGAGUUGCAGGGAAGAUAUUUUGUAAAUGGGAUUAGCAUCUACAAUCAGUGGACUUUACAUGAAGAUUACCCUUAAUAAUCGGGUGGGCCUCAUCUCAUCAGUUGAAGGCCUCACUGGCAAAAAUCGGUUUCUCUGAGAAAAAGCAGUUCUCCCUCAAGACUGCAGCAUACAAACUCUGUCUGAGUCUCUAGGCUGCCAGCCUGCCCUGUGAAUUUUGGACUCAAGACUACAACAUCAGCUCCUGUCUGAGUUUGCAGCCUGCCAGCCUGGAUUUCAGACUUGCCAGCCUUUGCUGUCAUCUGAGCCAAUUCCUCAAAAUAAAUCUCUUUGCA